GGGGGCGUAGUUCAGUGGUAGAAUAGAGGUCUCCAAAACCUUUGACGGAAGUCCGAUUCUUCCCGCCCCUG
RNAcentral lists this transfer RNA (71 nucleotides) under Candidatus Woesebacteria bacterium. Its description in RNAcentral is "tRNA-Trp". It matches the Rfam family "tRNA". From Rfam's summary of the family: Transfer RNA (tRNA) molecules are approximately 80 nucleotides in length. Their secondary structure includes four short double-helical elements and three loops (D, anti-codon, and T loops). Lineage: Bacteria; Candidatus Woeseibacteriota. The record is from RNAcentral. RNAcentral also lists the same sequence under 2 other names.